GAUGAAUGCUGGCGGCGUGCCUAAUACAUGCAAGUCGAGCGGUAACAGGGAGUUCCACCGUUUCCUUGACACACCUAGCGCUAUAUCGUAGGUUGUUGACUUCGAGGGAACCGUGGAAUUCUGCUGACGAGCGGCGGACGGCUGAGUAACGCGUGGGAACGGACCCCAAAUUGAGGGAUAACGCACCGAAAGGUGUGCUAAUACCGCAUGUGAUCUUCGGAUUAAAGCCUUCGGGCGAUUUGGGACUGGCCUGCGUACGAUUAGAUAGUUGGUAGGGUAAUGGCCUACCAAGUCGACGAUCGUUAGAUGGUUUGAGAAGAUGAUCAUCCAGACUGGGACUAAGACACGGCCCAGACUCC
RNAcentral lists this ribosomal RNA (359 nucleotides) under uncultured bacterium. RNAcentral describes it as "bacterial SSU rRNA". It matches the Rfam family "Bacterial small subunit ribosomal RNA", at positions 28 to 339 of the family's 1533-position model. The record is from RNAcentral.